RNAcentral lists this ribosomal RNA (1581 nucleotides) under Bacillus cereus. RNAcentral describes it as "partial 23S ribosomal RNA". It matches the Rfam family "Bacterial large subunit ribosomal RNA", at positions 1 to 1569 of the family's 2925-position model. Lineage: Bacteria; Bacillati; Bacillota; Bacilli; Caryophanales; Bacillaceae. The record is from RNAcentral.
GUUUGGUUAAGUUAGAAAGGGCGCACGGUGGAUGCCUUGACACUAGGAGUCGAUGAAGGACGGGACUAACGCCGAUAUGCUUCGGGGAGCUGUAAGUAAGCUUUGAUCCGAAGAUUUCCGAAUGGGGAAACCCACUAUACGUAAUGGUAUGGUAUCCUUACCUGAAUACAUAGGGUAUGGAAGACAGACCCAGGGAACUGAAACAUCUAAGUACCUGGAGGAAGAGAAAGCAAAUGCGAUUUCCUGAGUAGCGGCGAGCGAAACGGAACAUAGCCCAAACCAAGAGGCUUGCCUCUUGGGGUUGUAGGACAUUCUAUACGGAGUUACAAAGGAACGAGGUAGACGAAGCGACCUGGAAAGGUCCGUCGUAGAGGGUAACAACCCCGUAGUCGAAACUUCGUUCUCUCUUGAAUGUAUCCUGAGUACGGCGGAACACGUGAAAUUCCGUCGGAAUCUGGGAGGACCAUCUCCCAAGGCUAAAUACUCCCUAGUGAUCGAUAGUGAACCAGUACCGUGAGGGAAAGGUGAAAAGCACCCCGGAAGGGGAGUGAAAGAGAUCCUGAAACCGUGUGCCUACAAAUAGUCAGAGCCCGUUAAUGGGUGAUGGCGUGCCUUUUGUAGAAUGAACCGGCGAGUUACGAUCCCGUGCAAGGUUAAGCUGAAGAGGCGGAGCCGCAGCGAAAGCGAGUCUGAAUAGGGCGUUUAGUACGUGGUCGUAGACCCGAAACCAGGUGAUCUACCCAUGUCCAGGGUGAAGUUCAGGUAACACUGAAUGGAGGCCCGAACCCACGCACGUUGAAAAGUGCGGGGAUGAGGUGUGGGUAGCGGAGAAAUUCCAAUCGAACCUGGAGAUAGCUGGUUCUCCCCGAAAUAGCUUUAGGGCUAGCCUUAAGUGUAAGAGUCUUGGAGGUAGAGCACUGAUUGAACUAGGGGUCCUCAUCGGAUUACCGAAUUCAGUCAAACUCCGAAUGCCAAUGACUUAUCCUUAGGAGUCAGACUGCGAGUGAUAAGAUCCGUAGUCAAGAGGGAAACAGCCCAGAUCGCCAGCUAAGGUCCCAAAGUGUGUAUUAAGUGGAAAAGGAUGUGGAGUUGCUUAGACAACUAGGAUGUUGGCUUAGAAGCAGCCACCAUUUAAAGAGUGCGUAAUAGCUCACUAGUCGAGUGACUCUGCGCCGAAAAUGUACCGGGGCUAAAUACACCACCGAAGCUGCGAAUUGAUACCAAUGGUAUCAGUGGUAGGGGAGCGUUCUAAGUGCAGUGAAGUCAGACCGGAAGGACUGGUGGAGCGCUUAGAAGUGAGAAUGCCGGUAUGAGUAGCGAAAGACGGGUGAGAAUCCCGUCCACCGAAUGCCUAAGGUUUCCUGAGGAAGGCUCGUCCGCUCAGGGUUAGUCAGGACCUAAGCCGAGGCCGACAGGCGUAGGCGAUGGACAACAGGUUGAUAUUCCUGUACCACCUCUUUAUCGUUUGAGCAAUGGAGGGACGCAGAAGGAUAGAAGAAGCGUGCGAUUGGUUGUGCACGUCCAAGCAGUUAGGCUGAUAAGUAGGCAAAUCCGCUUAUCGUGAAGGCUGAGCUGUGAUGG